This 329-nucleotide unclassified non-coding RNA is filed under the name soil metagenome. RNAcentral describes it as "partial contains 5.8S ribosomal RNA, internal transcribed spacer 2, and large subunit ribosomal RNA". The stretch from base 1 to 120 matches the Rfam family "5.8S ribosomal RNA", at positions 35 to 154 of the family's 154-position model. The record is from RNAcentral.
GAUGAAGAACGCAGCGAAAUGCGAUAAGUAAUGUGAAUUGCAGAAUUCAGUGAAUCAUCGAAUCUUUGAACGCACAUUGCGCCCUCUGGUAUUCCGGGGGGCAUGCCUGUUCGAGCGUCAUUAUAACCACUCAAGCUUUCGCUUGGUAUUGGGGCUCGCGGUUCCGCGGCCCCUAAAAUCAGUGGCGGUGCCUGUCGGCUCUACGCGUAGUAAUACUCCUCGCGAUUGAGUCCGGUAGGUCUACUUGCCAGCAACCCCCAAUUUUUACAGGUUGACCUCGGAUCAGGUAGGGAUACCAGCUGAACUUAAGCAUAUCAAUAAGCGGAGGA